RNAcentral lists this ribosomal RNA (442 nucleotides) under uncultured bacterium. RNAcentral describes it as "partial 16S ribosomal RNA". It matches the Rfam family "Bacterial small subunit ribosomal RNA", at positions 339 to 795 of the family's 1533-position model. The record is from RNAcentral.
CUACGGGCGGCACCAGUGGGGAAUAUUGGGCAAUGGGCGAAAGCCUGACCCAGCAACGCCGCGUGAUUGAAGAAGGUCUUCGGAUUGUAAAAAUCUGUCCUUGGGGACGAAAAAAAUGACGGUACCCAAGGAGGAAGCCCCGGCUAACUACGUGCCAGCAGCCGCGGUAAUACGUAGGGGGCGAGCGUUGUCCGGAAUUACUGGGCGUAAAGGGUGCGCAGGCGGCGCUUUAAGUCAGAUGUGAAAUACCCAGGCUUAACCUGGGGGGUGCAUUUGAAACUGGAGUGCUUGAGUGCAGGAGAGGAAAGUGGAAUUCCUAGUGUAGCGGUGAAAUGCGUAGAUAUUAGGAGGAACACCAGUGGCGAAGGCGACUUUCUGGACUGUAACUGACGCUGAGGCACGAAAGCGUGGGGAGCAAACAGGAUUAGAUACCCGGGUAGUC